UCUAGAUGCCAUACUUAUUUGUUAUAUUCCAAUAUCAUCAGAACUUGGGAGCUAAGCAGGGUUGGGCUUGGUUAGUACUUGGAUAGGACACUGCUGGGAAUUGUGUGCCACAGUGGGAC
Molecule: ribosomal RNA, 119 nt
Filed under: Periophthalmus magnuspinnatus
Lineage: Eukaryota; Metazoa; Chordata; Actinopteri; Gobiiformes; Gobiidae
Source: RNAcentral